UUUUCAACUUUUUGAUAGCUCAACUCUUCGCGGAGUUAUGCGCCUUUAAAGA
Molecule: small RNA, 52 nt
Filed under: Caenorhabditis elegans
Lineage: Eukaryota; Metazoa; Nematoda; Chromadorea; Rhabditida; Rhabditidae
Description: Unclassified non-coding RNA Y92C3A.6
Source: RNAcentral